Molecule: small nuclear RNA, 104 nt
Organism: Rattus norvegicus (Norway rat)
Lineage: Eukaryota; Metazoa; Chordata; Mammalia; Rodentia; Muridae
Source: Ensembl
GUGCUCGCUUCGGCAGCACAUAAACUAAAAUUGGAACGACACAGAGAUUAGCAUGGCCCCUGCGCAAGGAUGACACACAAAUUCCUGAAGCGUUCCAUAUUAAA